UCUCAAGAAACUUGUAGAAAUGCAUUUUAAUAAUUGGGGGGGCGUGAAAACCCUAUCCGUUUGUAUACGCACUCGGAAGGGCUGAGAUGAAUAUUAAAUAAUCAGACAUAGUACGAUAAGGUUGUAUGUCUAAAGGGAAACAGCCCAGAACAAGAGUUAAUAAGGUUCCAAAAUUAUUGUUAAGUGAAAAUAAGGAAGUAUUUAUCCAAUUCGGCCAGGAAAUAGGCUUAGAAGCGGCCAUUUUUUGAAGACCUCGUAACAGAGCACUGGUUAAGUAAGUAUAACCGUAGUAAUGCGUAGUAUAGAAUAGUAUAUUGAUAAAAGCACCAAAAAUUUAACGGAUCUAAAACAAUAUACCGAGACCUUGUCCAUAAUUAGUAAUAUAUUCAAGUAAUAUAUUAUCUUAUGGGGUAGCAGAACAUAGGGCAAAUCUAAGACUUUUUCUUAUUAAGAUAAAAAAUAAGAUAGCCCUAGAGAUAAUGCUGACAUGAGUAACGAUAAAGGGAAUGAUUCCCUCGCCUAAAGCUUAUGGUAUUUCUUUAAAGUAACGGCCUCUAAGUUUAUAUAUGCUAUAAAAAAUACAUCCGCGAUUAACGUUGGGAAUAAACUAAAUAGAUGAUGCGAUUAGUAUUUGUAACAUACUAACAUAUGUUACAAGUGCAGNUUUCGGAUUAAUAGGAUAUCCCCUAAGGGAUUAAACGAUGAGAAAACCUAGUAGAGUUUAGAGGUAAAUAACCCUUUGUNCCCGAAAAAGAUUUACCUUAAUCACUAGUAAUGAGGGGUGGGUUAUAUUGUGUGAAUGUGACNNAGUGNUNUGGAAAAACNUUNAACUCNAGAGGUNGAACNAAAAAAAGNUUUUUUUUUGUUGUCUUGAGGUAAAACACUUUUAUUUUGAGUACCAACGGAAUGAACCGUACCUAGAAACUACCACCAGUAAGUUAGUAGAG
This 947-nucleotide ribosomal RNA is filed under the name Lepra subventosa. Its description in RNAcentral is "partial large subunit ribosomal RNA". The stretch from base 1 to 487 matches the Rfam family "Bacterial large subunit ribosomal RNA", at positions 882 to 1301 of the family's 2925-position model. Lineage: Eukaryota; Fungi; Ascomycota; Lecanoromycetes; Pertusariales; Pertusariaceae. The record is from RNAcentral.